RNAcentral lists this long non-coding RNA (428 nucleotides) under Hordeum vulgare. Its description in RNAcentral is "long non-coding RNA (HVUL_LNC001471)". The record is from RNAcentral. Lineage: Eukaryota; Viridiplantae; Streptophyta; Magnoliopsida; Poales; Poaceae.
GUAAACAUAUUAUUUUCCACCAAACAAACCAACUACAAUUAACUACAAGAUGUAAUCAACACUACUAGUAACCCACGAGUUCCAAUCUGAGGUUUUGAGACAAAGAUUGAAUACAAGAGAUGAACUAGGGUUUGACAUGAGAUGGUUCUCGUGAAGAUAUUGAUGGAGAUUAGUCCUCCCACGAAGGGAAAAAGCAUUGGUCGUGAUGAUGGCUUUGAUAUUCCCCUGCUCGAGGGAAGUUUCCCCAACAGAAUCACUAUGUCGGAGAGCAAAAGGGUCUCUACCAAGGUUUCGACCUCGAGAUGGCGGCGCUUCAUCCCAAAAUUAUCUUCAUAAUUUUUUAGGUCAAAACCCAUAAUAUACGAGAAGAGUGGGUGGAGGAGCUGGGAGAUGGCCCCAAGCCUUCAGGGCAUGCCCAGGGAGGUGGG